Molecule: ribosomal RNA, 1002 nt
Filed under: uncultured bacterium
Lineage: Bacteria
Description: bacterial SSU rRNA
Rfam family: Bacterial small subunit ribosomal RNA
Source: RNAcentral
AGUGAGGAAUAUUGCACAAUGGGGGGAACCCUGAUGCAGCAACGCCGCGUGGAGGAUGACGCAUUUCGGUGUGUAAACUCCUUUUAUAAGGGAAGAAAAUGACGGUACCUUAUGAAUAAGCACCGGCUAACUCCGUGCCAGCAGCCGCGGUAAUACGGAGGGUGCAAGCGUUACUCGGAAUCACUGGGCGUAAAGGACGCGUAGGCGGGCUAAAAAGUCAGGUGUGAAAGCCUACAGCUUAACUGUAGAACUGCACUUGAAACUCUUAGCCUAGAGUAUGGGAGGGGGAGAUGGAAUUAGUGGUGUAGGGGUAAAAUCCGUAGAUAUCACUAGGAAUACCGAAAGCGAAGGCGAUCUCCUGGAACAUUACUGACGCUAAGGCGUGAAAGCGUGGGGAGCAAACGGGAUUAGAUACCCCGGUAGUCCACGCCCUAAACGAUGUUCACUAGUCGUCGGGGUACUAGUUACUUCGGUGAUGCACUUAACAGAUUAAGUGAACCGCCUGGGGAGUACGGUCGCAAGAUUAAAACUCAAAGGAAUAGACGGGGACCCGCACAAGUGGUGGAGCAUGUGGUUUAAUUCGAAGAUACGCGAAGAACCUUACCUAGCCUUGACAUUGAUAGAAUACACCAGAGAUGGAGUAGUGCCCUUCGGGGAGCUUGAAAACAGGUGCUGCACGGCUGUCGUCAGCUCGUGUCGUGAGAUGUUGGGUUAAGUCCCGCAACGAGCGCAACCCUCGCCAAUAGUUAAUAACAGUUCGGCUGAUGACUCUAUUGGGACUGCCUUCGCAAGGAGGAGGAAGGUGAGGACGACGUCAAGUCAUCAUGGCCCUUAUGGCUAGGGCUACACACGUGCUACAAUGGGGCGUACAAAGAGUUGCGAUACCGCGAGGUGGAGCUAAUCUCUUAAAGCGUCUCUCAGUUCGGAUUGGAGUCUGCAACUCGACUCCAUGAAGCUGGAAUCACUAGUAAUCGUAGAUCAGCAAUGCUACGGUGAAUACGU